AACCCAGAGAGCCAUACAGCUUUCUGGAAGGGGCUGAAGAGCCUGUGAGUGUUAAGAGCUUAGAGGCUGGCGAGUCCCGCAGCUGCUCAUACGCUGGUUUUGCAGAGCACAGGUAUACUGACUGCCUCCCGGCUGCUGAGGGAGUGGGGUCCCCUAACUUCAGAGCAGCCGGGGUGGCAGGGGAGGCUGAAGAGUCGGAUCACUUGGAUCCAGAGGACGCAGCGGGCCCUGCUCCCAAGGGUGGUGCAAAGACAGUUGAACGCAAACAGAAGAAGAAGGAGCAGAACAAGACCGCUGCUCACAGGUACCGUCUGCGCAAGAGGGAAGAGCUGGGCUGUCAGGAGGAGGAGCUCCGGGGAUUGGAAAGAAAGAACCAGGAGCUGAAAGACAAGGCUGAGUCCGUGGAGAGAGAGAUCCAGUAUGUGAAAGACCUGCUCAUCGAGGUGUACAAAGCACGCAGCCAGCGACUCAAACAAGGGAGCAGUGCGUGAGAGCCAGCCCAAACUAACACAGGAGGGGACGGUGAAACAGAACAGCUUACUUCCCGGAGGAGUCCUUGUGACAGCUGCCCGGUCUCAGAUACUGCCUGCCUAGAUACCUACCAGCCAAUUUAUAAGCAAAUUACAAUCAGUCCUUUUCUCGCUACUGUAACGGGUUUAGAUAGGGCUCAUGCCUGAGUAAGUGUAAUUGUUAUUUUUUAUAAUACCGUGUUCGUUUUUUAAAAUCUUAGCAAUAUACCGCACAAGCUGUUUCUUAAAAUGUUCUUGCUAGCGCUUGUGAAGUUGUAUGAGGUUUAAAGUUGCAGUGUCCCCUAUUUGAAAUAGUUUGGUUAAUGCAGGCUGACUAUAAGGUUUUUCUGCCACCAGGGGGUGCUGUUGCUGCUCCCAGAGCAGUGAACCUGGUGCUUCAUCCCCAGUUAAAAUAUAUGGACUUAAAAAGGCAUUAGUUUAAGACUAGUUAUUUCUUGUGUUCAAACUUGCUUCCAAAUGGAUGCCAAAGAGAAUCUUGACAUCCAAAACUCUGUUCUGUAUUCUAUCAUGAUUUAAAGAUUACAAUUCUGGGGAGCUGCAGCUUUAAUCAUUAGCAAGUAAAUGUUGACGGUUUUGUAAGCCUUUGAGGCACUUGUGUAUGCAUAUGUGUCAGACGUCAAGUAAAAUGUUGUGAUAGCUUUGUUUUUAAAGUAGUGAUAGCUCUGAUCGUGUAUGAGGCUGGACAAUGUGCUGCUUAUCAAUUUAAACAUUUAAUAAAGUUUUGAUGACAAGUG
Long non-coding RNA from Polyodon spathula (Mississippi paddlefish), 1264 nucleotides. RefSeq lists it as uncharacterized. The record is from RefSeq and is a predicted model, not a curated record. The transcript is spliced from 2 exons. NCBI's taxonomy places the organism in Eukaryota, Metazoa, Chordata, Actinopteri, Acipenseriformes, Polyodontidae.